Molecule: long non-coding RNA, 535 nt
Organism: Bos taurus (domestic cattle)
Lineage: Eukaryota; Metazoa; Chordata; Mammalia; Artiodactyla; Bovidae
Source: Ensembl
AAGCACGGAGCUCCUAACCCUCCAGUCUCUGACAGAGGGACUCAAUUUUGCAGAGAGACCCUGAUUACAGGGCUGGUCGGUGAAAGUGCCAGGAUUCCAACCCCGGGUCCCAGGGUCGUGUCCUCCACCGUGCCGCUCUGCCUUCAGCCUGGGGGCUGCGUAUCUUACUCCCUGGAUGCUGGGAGCUGAGCUGCAGAGGGUGAGGGCAGGAUUCCACGUAUCCAGCAGGUUUCUCCAAGACCCACCCAGCCUGUGACUGGACCCUGGGGCCCGAGGUUGGAGCAGGGCAUGGGUGAGGCUCUGGAGGGCAGUUGGGGGUGCAGGGAGCAGGAAGUGGACACUCCAGGGAAAUGUCUUCCACCUGCUGGAGGUACGAGAUCCCAUUUGAGUGACCGUUUCCACUGCACAUUCUACUGGCCAGAACCACAGACAGCUGAGACCCUCGAUUCCUCUUGAAUGACCCCAUGGCUUCCAUGCCUCCUUGAAAUGUUUGGAGCAAAAAGCCUUCACAAGGGUGGUCAGGAAGGGGACACAG